CACGUAGGGGGCGAGCGUUGUCCGGAUUUAUUGGGCGUAAAGAGCUCGUAGGCGGUUCACUAAGUCGGGUGUGAAACCUCCAGGCUCAACCUGGAGACGCCACCUGAUACUGGUGUGACUAGAGUCCGGUAGGGGAGUGUGGAACUCCUGGUGUAGCGGUGAAAUUCGUAGAUAUCGAGAAGAACACCGGUGGCGAAGGCGGCCAACUGGACGGUGACUGACACUGAGACGCGAAAGCGUGGGGAGCAAACAGG
RNAcentral lists this ribosomal RNA (254 nucleotides) under uncultured bacterium. RNAcentral's name for it is "partial 16S ribosomal RNA". It matches the Rfam family "Bacterial small subunit ribosomal RNA", at positions 524 to 776 of the family's 1533-position model. The record is from RNAcentral.